CCCGUUGAUCGCGAUCUCCCAGCACUCCAUCUGUCCAUGGACCAAAGAAGAAAAUCCAUCUUCUUCCGUCCGACUGCAAGCAUAAUCCCAGCUUCCACGCCUUCCUCUGAGAAAUCCUUGCUUCUCCCUUCUGGAUUCGAGACCCCCUCCUCCGCCUCUGCUUCCGCCCGUGAUGCGGAUGUUAAUCCAUGAUCCCAGCAUCAAGCCGCCCAUCUCAGCCUCCCAUCUCAUCUUCUUCCGUCCGCACGUCAACCUCCCGGAAUCCCAGCGGCCAUCAUCCGGAUCCACGCUCCCAGCAUCCAACUUCUUCCUCCAAGCGAUCUCGCGGCCAGCUCCAUUGAUCCAGCUGUCUGCAAUCAAUCCGGCGCCCUAGAAAUCACACGCCCCCUUCCGGAUUCGAGGCAUCCUCAGCAUCCACGUUCCUCCCAACGAUCCCGCAGCGUCCAGCCGUCCAUGAUCAACGUUCCCAGCAUCUUCCCACCGGAUCCACCUCCCAGCAUCCCCAGCCUCCCGCGAUGCACUCCGAAGCCGUGAUCCCAGCCACCUUCGCACGAUCCAGUCGUCCGCAUCACGGCCAUUUCCUCCUCUGUUUCAGCAUCCCGCAUGACACGCCUUCCUCCCAUCGAUCACGCACCCCGGAAGUUCCCUCUUCCGCAUCUCAUCCCAAGCGUCUGCAAUCGGCCGCCCGUGAUUCCUCCCAAAAUUUCAGCAUCCCGCGACUAUAAGAGGAGGGGAGGAGAGGCAUUCAA
This 749-nucleotide long non-coding RNA is filed under the name Phoenix dactylifera (date palm). RNAcentral describes it as "long non-coding RNA (PDAC_LNC018189)". The record is from RNAcentral. Lineage: Eukaryota; Viridiplantae; Streptophyta; Magnoliopsida; Arecales; Arecaceae.